Molecule: non-coding RNA, 24 nt
Filed under: Arabidopsis thaliana (thale cress)
Lineage: Eukaryota; Viridiplantae; Streptophyta; Magnoliopsida; Brassicales; Brassicaceae
Source: RNAcentral
GGCCAACACUUUCCAUAUGAGUGA